This 481-nucleotide ribosomal RNA is filed under the name uncultured bacterium. RNAcentral describes it as "bacterial SSU rRNA". It matches the Rfam family "Bacterial small subunit ribosomal RNA", at positions 28 to 507 of the family's 1533-position model. The record is from RNAcentral.
GACGAACGCUGGCGGCGUGCCUAAUACAUGCAAGUCGAGCGGACCCUUCGGGGUANCGGCGACGGGUGAGUAACACGUGGGUAAUCCUGCCCAACUGACUGGAAUAACGCCUGGAAACGGGUGCUAAAUGCCGGAUAGGCAACUGGUAGGCAUCUACCGGUUGGGAAAGGUGCAACUGCACCGCAGAUGGAGGAGCCCGCGGCGCAUUAGCUAGUUGGUGGGGUAACGGCCUACCAAGGCGACGAUGCGUAGCCGACCUGAGAGGGUGACGGCCACACUGGGACUGAGACACGGCCCCAGACUCCUACGGGAGGCAGCAGUAGGGAAUCUUCCGCAAUGGGCGCAAGCCUGACGGAGCAACGCCGCGUGAGCGAAGAAGGCCUUCGGGUUGUAAAGCUCAGUCACUCGGGAAGAGCGGACGAGGGAGUGGAAAGCCCUCGUCGAGACGGUACCGAGAGAGGAAGCCCCGGCUAACUACGUG